This 627-nucleotide ribosomal RNA is filed under the name uncultured bacterium. RNAcentral describes it as "bacterial SSU rRNA". It matches the Rfam family "Bacterial small subunit ribosomal RNA", at positions 126 to 767 of the family's 1533-position model. The record is from RNAcentral.
UUGCCUCUUGGUCUGGGACAACUGUUGGAAACGACAGCUAAUACCGGAUAUUAUGAGAUUCUCGCAUGGGAAACUUAUGAAAGCUAUAUGCGCCAAGAGAGAGCCUUGCGUUCCAUUAGCUAGUUGGUGGGGUAACGGCCCACCAAGGCGACGAUGGAUAGCCGGCCUGAGAGGGUGAACGGCCACAAGGGGACUGAGACACGGCCCUUACUCCUACGGGAGGCAGCAAUGGGGAAUAUUGGACAAUGGGCCACAAGCCUGAUCCAGCAAUUCUGUGUGCACGAUGAAGGUCUUCGGAUUGUAAAGUGCUUUCAGUUGGGAAGAAGAAAGUGACGGUACCAACAGAAGAAGCGACGGCUAAAUACGUGCCAGCAGCCGCGGUAAUACGUAUGUCGCAAGCGUUAUCCGGAUUUAUUGGGCGUAAAGCGCGUCUAGGCGGAAAAAUAAGUCUGAUGUUAAAAUGCGGGGCUCAACUCCGUAUUGCGUUGGAAACUGUUUUUCUAGAGUACUGGAGAGGUGGGCGGAACUACAAGUGUAGAGGUGAAAUUCGUAGAUAUUUGUAGGAAUGCCGAUGGAGAAGUCAGCUCACUGGACAGAUACUGACGCUAAAGCGCGAAAGCGUGGGGA